This 488-nucleotide ribosomal RNA is filed under the name uncultured bacterium. RNAcentral's name for it is "partial 16S ribosomal RNA". It matches the Rfam family "Bacterial small subunit ribosomal RNA", at positions 28 to 507 of the family's 1533-position model. The record is from RNAcentral.
GAUGAACGCUGGCGGCGUGCUUAACACAUGCCAGUCGAACGGUGAAGGCGGAGCUUGCUCUGCUGGAUCAGUGGCGAACGGGUGAGUAACACGUGAGCAAUCUGCCCCUGACUCUGGGAUAAGCGCUGGAAACGGCGUCUAAUACUGGAUACGAGCUGCUAAGGCAUCUUCAGCAGCUGGAAAGAACUUCGGUCCGGGAUGAGCUCGCGGCCUCUCAGCUUGUUGGUGAGGUAACGGCUCACCAAGGCGACGACGGGUAGCCGGCCUGAGAGGGGGAUCGGCCACAGGGGAACGGAGACGGGGGCAAGAGGGCUGAGGGAGGCAGCAGUAGGGAAUGUGCCGCAAUGGGGGAAAGUAUGACGGAGCAAGGCAGCGUGAGGGAUGAAGGUAUUCGGAGCGUAAAAAUGUGUUAUUAGGGAAGAACAAAUGUGAAAGGAAAUGUGGACGUAUGGACGGUACCUAAUGAGAAAGCCACGGAUAACUACGUG